GUGAACGCUGGCGGCGUGCCUAACACAUGCAAGUCGAACGAUGAUAGAGAGCUUGCUCUCUUGAUUAGUGGCGCACGGGUGAGUAUACCAUAGAUAAUGUACCUCUUAGUUCGGGAUAGCCACUGGAAACGGUGAUUAAUACCGGAUACUCCUUCUUACUCUAAGGUAAGUCGGGAAAGUUUUUUCGCUAAGAGAUCAGUCUAUGUCCUAUCAGCUAGUUGGUGAGGUAAUGGCUCACCAAGGCUAUGACGGGUAUCUGGUUUGAGAGGAUGAUCAGACACACUGGAACUGAGACACGGUCCAGACUCCUACGGGAGGCAGCAGUGAGGAAUAUUGCACAAUGGAGGAAACUCUGAUGCAGCAACGCCGCGUGGAGGAUGACGCAUUUCGGUGUGUAAACUCCUUUUAUGAGGGAAGAGCAAGGACUGUACCUCAUGAAUAAGGAUCGGCUAACUACGU
RNAcentral lists this ribosomal RNA (459 nucleotides) under uncultured bacterium. RNAcentral's name for it is "bacterial SSU rRNA". It matches the Rfam family "Bacterial small subunit ribosomal RNA", at positions 29 to 506 of the family's 1533-position model. The record is from RNAcentral.